This 490-nucleotide ribosomal RNA is filed under the name uncultured bacterium. RNAcentral's name for it is "partial 16S ribosomal RNA". It matches the Rfam family "Bacterial small subunit ribosomal RNA", at positions 28 to 506 of the family's 1533-position model. The record is from RNAcentral.
GAUGAACGCUGGCUACAGGCUUAACACAUGCAAGUCGAGGGGAAACGACGGGGAAGCUUGCUUCCCCGGGCGUCGACCGGCGCACGGGUGAGUAACGCGUAUCCAACCUGCCUCUGACUGAGGGAUAACCCGUCGAAAGUCGGCCUAAUACCUCAUGGCAUCGUCUGCGGGCAUCCAACGACGAUUAAAGAUUUCAUCGGUCAGGGAUGGGGAUGCGUCUGAUUAGCUUGUUGGCGGGGUAACGGCCCACCAAGGCUACGAUCAGUAGGGGUUCUGAGAGGAAGGUCCCCCACAUUGGAACUGAGACACGGUCCAAACUCCUACGGGAGGCAGCAGUGAGGAAUAUUGGUCAAUGGGCGGGAGCCUGAACCAGCCAAGUAGCGUGCAGGAUGACGGCCCUAUGGGUUGUAAACUGCUUUUAUGCGGGGAUAAAGUGAGGGACGUGUCCUUCAUUGCUGGUACCGCAUGAAUAAGGACCGGCUAAUUCCGU